UACAGAGGGGGCAAGCGUUAUUCGGAAUUAUUGGGCGUAAAGGGCGCGUAGGCGGCUUGGCAAGUGGAAGGUGAAAUCCCUCGGCUUAACCGAGGAACUGCCCUCCAAACUGCUUUGCUUGAGGCCGGGAGAGGCGAGUGGAAUUCCCAGUGUAGCGGUGAAAUGCGUAGAUAUGACAUAGAACACCAAUUGCGAAGGCAGCUGGCUACACAAAUAUUGACACUGAGGCACGAAAGCGUGGGGAUCAAACAGG
RNAcentral lists this ribosomal RNA (253 nucleotides) under uncultured bacterium. Its description in RNAcentral is "partial 16S ribosomal RNA". It matches the Rfam family "Bacterial small subunit ribosomal RNA", at positions 524 to 776 of the family's 1533-position model. The record is from RNAcentral.